This 253-nucleotide ribosomal RNA is filed under the name uncultured bacterium. RNAcentral describes it as "partial 16S ribosomal RNA". It matches the Rfam family "Bacterial small subunit ribosomal RNA", at positions 524 to 776 of the family's 1533-position model. The record is from RNAcentral.
AACAGAGGUCCCAAGCGUUGUUCGGAUUUACUGGGCGUAAAGGGUGUGUAGGCGGGCAUGAAAGUCUGGUGUGAAAUCCCACCGCUCAACGGUGGAAUGGCGCUCGAUACUGCAUGGCUUGAGGACCGGAUGGGAGAGCGGAAUUGCUGGUGUAGCGGUGACAUGCGUAGAUAUCAGGAGGAACGCCAAUAGCGAAGGCAGCUCUCUGGAAGGAUCCUGACGCUGCGACACGAAGGCCAGGGGAGCGAACGGG